RNA transcript from Meriones unguiculatus (Mongolian gerbil), 5565 nucleotides. It is a transcript of the gene named thioredoxin related transmembrane protein 3, with no coding region annotated. The record is from RefSeq and is a predicted model, not a curated record. NCBI's taxonomy places the organism in Eukaryota, Metazoa, Chordata, Mammalia, Rodentia, Muridae. The transcript has 17 exons.
GCGCAUGCUCAGAGACUACGACCGCUGGGCUACAGGGAGCCUGCGGGAGGCCGGCACACCCCGACCCGCCUCUGCCUUACUCAGCGCUGUUCCGCGUCCCAGGUUUUUCUCACUUUCUUUUCUUGCCAGUUUUUGUUUCCGCGCGUGCUCGUCGCGGGGUCUACGCCGCGCUCCAUGGCAAGAGCUGCGGAGCGAAGGAACUGGACGACUCUCCGGCUAUGCGCUGCCGUUAUUUUACUUGACCUGACUGUCUGUAAAGGAUUUGUAGAAGAUCUAAAUGAAUCAUUUAAAGAUAAUCGAAAAGAUGACAUUUGGCUUGUUGAUUUUUAUGCACCCUGGUGUGGCCAUUGUAAAAAACUGGAACCAAUUUGGAAUGAGGUUGGGCUUGAAAUGAAAAGUAUUGGUUCUCCAGUUAAAGUUGGAAAGAUGGAUGCUACUUCCUAUUCUAGCAUUGCUUCAGAGUUUGGAGUUCGAGGUUAUCCAACAAUUAAGCUAUUAAAGGGGGACUUGGCAUAUAAUUACAGAGGACCACGGACUAAAGAGGAUAUAAUUGAGUUUGCUCACAGAGUGUCUGGGGCUCUAAUUCGGCCUCUUCCAAGUCAACAAAUGUUCGACCAUGUACAGAAGCGGCACCAUGUAUUUUUUGUUUAUAUUGGUGGAGAAUCACCCUUGAAAGAGAAAUACAUAGAUGCUGCUUCAGAGUUAAUUGUGUAUACAUACUUCUUUUCUGCACCAGAAGAUGUGAUUCCUGAGUAUGUGACACUGAAAGAAAUUCCUGCUGUGCUUGUUUUCAAAGAUGACACUUAUUUUGUUUAUGAUGAGUAUGAAGAUGGCGAUCUGUCCUCAUGGAUCAGCAGGGAGCGGUUUCAGAACUACCUUACUAUGGAUGGCUUCCUUUUAUAUGAACUUGGAGAGACAGGAAAGCUUGUGGCCAUUGCAAUUAUUGAUGAGAAAAACACAUCACUUGAGCAUACCAGAUUAAAGUCGAUUAUUCAGGAGGUUGCUAGAGAUUUCAGAGACCAUUUCCAUAGAGAUUUUCAGUUUGGCCAUAUGGAUGGAAAUGACUAUAUAAACACCUUGCUUAUGGAUGAAUUGACAGUCCCAACCAUAGUCGUACUGAAUACUUCAAACCAACAGUACUUUUUGCUGGAUAGAUAUAUUAAGGAUGCCAAUGACAUGGUCCAGUUCAUUAACAGCAUUUUGGAUGGUACAGUACCUGCCCAAGGAGGUGAUAGUAUUUUGCAGAGAUUGAAAAGAAUAAUAUUUGAUGCCAAAUCUACAAUUGUGUCUAUAUUCAAGAGCUCUCCAAUUAUGGGCUGCUUUCUCUUCGGCCUGCCACUGGGUGUCAUCAGUAUCAUGUGCUAUGGAAUCUAUACAGCUGACACAGAUGGAGGCUAUAUAGAAGAGCGAUAUGAAGUGUCCAAAAGCGAAAUGGAAAACCAGGAGCAAGUAGAAGAGAACAAAGAGCAGGAGUCCAGCGGUGGAGGGUCUCUAGUGUCUCCUGUGCAAGAGCCCAAGGAUGUAUUAGAAAAGAAGAAAGAUUGAGACUUCACAGAUAAAAAAUAUUUGAUAGGACUUCAAAUUAUUAAAGAAUAUUUAUUGAAUUUAGAGAUUUAAUCAUGAUCUAUUUACAGAAGAGAACAUGUUCUUUGUAUUUUGCUAAUGACAACUGCAUGAAUUAAAGUAAUCCUUCCAUAAGUGGAAAGAUGUUUGGAACAAAGAAAUGAAGAGUUUGUCCAGAACAAAGCCAGAUCAUUGUAUCAGCUACCUUCUAGAUGCCCAUUUUGUGCCCACUCCUCUGUGUGCAUCUUUUAUGACAAACUUGGACACAAUAUUAACUUGACCAUUAAUGUGGAAGAUGUGUGUUUUGCAAAGAGAAAUAGUACUUUCAACUACUAUAUCAAUUCUCCUAUAUUUUGGAUAAAAUUUAUAUAAACAGAUUAAGUCUUUAAAAUUUAGACAUUUUAAGAGAAACUCAUAACUUUUCCAUGUAUCAAAUUUAAGAUUUGAGUUUAGAAGUAGUGAUUUUAUAUAUAGCAUAGUGAUUUUAUUUUACUAGUUAUUUUUAAAGGAGAAAUGUUACUUUUUUACUUAUACUCCAUUGCAUUAUUAUGAUAUUGGCAUAUGGUCCCAUGAAGUGGGGGAAGAAUCUUAAAGUUGACCUUCACAAAAUGACCAAUGUAUGUGGGAGUGGUGGCUUCAGUCCCUGUUGUGGAGCACAGUAUCCACCAGGAAGGAGAGGCCCUCUUAGUACAUCUUGCUUUUAGCCAAAGCAGCCUAAUGUUUUGUUUUGUUUUCAUUUUUAUUGUAUAGCCUGACAUUACUUCUAAUAUUUCUAUUAAGGCAUUCAGAAGUAAUAGAAAUUAUGUUUUUAAGAUAUGUAAACUAAUAAUUUAAAAUUUACUGCCACAUCUCUAUUGUGGGAGGCCGUAACAGGUCAGUGAUAUAAUCAACAUGUUAAACUCAGAUGUUAUGAACAGAGAGAGAGAGUUCCCUUCUCUAAUUAGCCUCUCACCUUUGCUUCCUUGAGAAUCAUGACCUCUCAUCUUUCUUCAGAAUGCAGUCGUGCCUAAGAGUAGUUAUUUUUUGAUAAUAUGUUUAUUACAGAUCUGUUUGUUAAUUUUGAGGCCUUCAUUUUAGCUAAUUUCAGAAUUUUUAUUAGGCAAUGUUUAGGUCCUAUUCUUUGAAUACUUUAGUGUUUGCUUAAAGGAUCCACUGAGCAUUUAUAGACAUGGUUUGUAGUUUUAACACUGCAGUUGCUUGGGGCUUCUGCUUUGGUUACCAGGGGAGUUUCUGGUCUCUGAUGCAAUACUAAUCAACACUGAACUGAAAUUUGUAUAUCUGUAGAGCUAGAGAAUUACUAAUCAUAAUCUCUGUUCAAUUUUUUUCGUAUUCAAAAGAACCCAUUUUUAAUAUUUAAUCACCCAUUGUUAACUUUAUUGCUAAUGGUAUAAAUAUGUAGUUAUAGGGAAUUUCAGGGAAAAAAAAGGGUAUUCUCAAAUGGAAACUGGAGAUAAGCACUGUUAAAAGUUACUGUGACCCAAGAGCUAGCCAAUGAGUUCAUGUCAGAGACAGCCCCUGUUCCCUUUACUAAGGAACCCACUUGGAGAUUGAGCUGCCAUGGGCUACAUCUGUGUAGGGGUUCUAGGUUAUCUUCAUGUAUGGUCCUUGGUUGGAGUAUCAGUCUCAGAAAAGAACCCUGGGCCCAUAUUUUUUGGUUCUGUUGCUCUCCUUGUGGAAGCCCUGUCACUUUCAGGUCUUUCAUCUCCCCCACCUUCUUUCAUAGGAUUCCCUGCACUCUGCCCAAAGUUUGGCUUUGAGUCUCAGCAUCUGUUUUGAUACCCUGCUGGGUAGAGUCUUUCAGAGGCCGUCUGUGGUGGCUCCUGUCCCGUUCCCUGUUUUUUCCCUCUUCCGAUAUCUAUCCCAUUUUCUGAAUGAGGAAUGAUCAUCUUACCCAGGGUCCUCCUUGCUUAGCUUCUUUAAAUGUACAGAUUUUAGUAUGUUUGGGGGAGGCAGUCUUAACAGGCCUCAGAGGAAGACAGUGCAGCCAGACCUGAUGAGACCUGAUAGGCUAGUGUUAGAUGGAAGGAGAGGAGGACCUCUCCUAUCAGUGGACUGGGGGAGGGCCAUGGGAGAAGAGGGAAGGGGCUACAGCUGGGAUACAAAGUGAAUAAAUUGUAAUACAAAUUGCUGUGACAAGUAAAUUCUUCCAAAGAAUAAAGAUGACUCUUUGUGAAGAUUCAUGGUAGUGUUCCCAAUUGUCAAGCCUUUUUUUCAGGAUAAAAGAUCUGAAUUACAUAUAGAUUCCUCAUUUAUCAUACUAUAUAGUAAAGAAGAGACAUGAGGAAAUAGAAAGUACCACUAAUAUAUUUUACUGUUGUUCAUCACUAUCAAAAAUUAAUUAUGUGUAUUUUGUCUUGUCAGUCAUCCCUUGUAAAUAAGUUCUCAGUAGGAAAAAAGAAUAAAGCACAGCUUUGCAUCACCAAACAGAAGUGCAAAGCAUGCUGGAGGCAAGAAGCAGUUCUAUGCAAGUUCAAGGCCAGCCUGCCUGGCCUACUGAGUGAGUUCCAGGACAGCCAGGGCUACACAGAGAAACCCUGUCUCAGGAAAUUAAUAAUAUUUUCAUGAUGUUUCAUGAUGAAAUGAACAGGAAAAAAAAUCACUCAACUAUUCUUAUGCAGAAAUUGGUAAGUGUGAAAUGUUAAGACCUAAGUGGCGGGACUGAGUUUGCCAUUUUAUUUUUACAAAUAUAUUUUUCCUGAAUGUGUCUGAGUCCCAAUAAUGAGCAGCAAUAAUAAUAAUAAUAAUAAUAGGUAAUUUUCUAGUUUGGACUAAGCUAUAAAGGUUUUUGAAAAUCUGUAUUACUGCUAACGUGUAGAAUUGUUAUACUCUGCCUUAUGACACCAAUUAGAAACCUUUGUUUUUCUAAUUAAUUAAAAAUAUCAUAACUGCUAUCUUUAAUAUGUGUUUUUCAGAAGUUUGCCACAUGAUUAAUCCUCUAACAAAAUCAGAAGCUACAGCUAAUAUUCCACAAAAUACUUUCCUUUUAUUAAGACAUAGCUUAUUAAUAAUUACAGAAAUUUUAUAAUUUAAAUGUGCUUGGAAGUGAAUUGUGGCAUAAUUCUUUAUAGCCAAAACCCCAAUAUCCUUUUGUCUAAUUUUAAUUUUAUAAAAUCUGAUAUGUUUUUAAAUAUUUUUUAAAGGAUACCUCAACUUUUCUACAAAAUUUAAGAACUGGAUUUGAACUUUGAAUUAAUAAAAUAUGAUUCUGAAUAUUAUAUCCUGACCUCUCACUUUUGUUAUCAUUGAACAGAGAAUUUAAAGCCUUUGGAUUUUUUGGUGGGGGCACUUAUUUGUAUUUGAUGUUUUAAUUAUUUCGACAUAAAUGAAGCGCAUGCAUCAUGAAAACAAGUUUUAUAUAAAUGUUAAUUUUUAUAUUUCUUACAUCAGAGAGGUAUGUUUUCAUGAAGUGGUGGGAAAAAGAGUAACAAGUCAGCACAAAAUAUCAACUUGCAUUUGAUUGCCAGGUUAUGAGCAGAGACAGACUGCUCAGCUACAGGGAGGUACCCUGUGUUGGGUGAGUAGCUGGGGCAUUGUCUGGAUGCAACUCUGGCUUAUGUUCUUGCUCCACUCUUGUGAAGUUUAGAAAAGCCAGUUAACCUCUUCCACUUCUGAAUUACCCAUGCCACCUAUCUCUAGAUUAUGAAGGUUAGCUGAACCCAUGGUACAUAGCCACAAUUCAUUAACUGACAAUUACUGUUUAACCCUAAAACUAAGUACAAAUAUUUAGGUUGUUACUUGUGAACAUUCUGGGGUUUUUUUGUGCUUUUUAAAUGAAAAUGAUCACACACAAAAAAAUGUAACUAGCUAGUUAUUGAUUAACGUGUGAAUAUCUUAAUUAGAUUUAUGUGUGAACUUUAGGCAGAGUUAGAUGCAGGUGUGUCACUCAGUUACUUCUCCAGCACUAUGCCUGCCUGCCUGCCACCAUGCUCCCCAUCAUGAUGGUGAUGUCUUUUGAAGCUGUAAGCAAGCCCCUGAUUAAAUACUUUCUUUUAUAAAAGUUGA